This 67-nucleotide small RNA is filed under the name Paenisporosarcina sp. HGH0030. RNAcentral's name for it is "Bacillaceae-1 RNA". It matches the Rfam family "Bacillaceae-1 RNA". Lineage: Bacteria; Bacillati; Bacillota; Bacilli; Caryophanales; Caryophanaceae. The record is from Rfam by way of RNAcentral.
AUAUUGGGAAGGAAGGCUAAAUCUGCGACAUCGUGUCGCGACGCCUUCAUAACCAACAUCCCGUUGG